GGUCUUUAAUUGUGCGGCAUCAAAGGUUGUACAAUAGAAACAAACUUCUGUGCCCUGUUAAAAUUACCGUGUCUGAAUGUGGUCUGGCUGCAGAAUGUUUGAAGGCAUCUUACAGCUUGCUUUCAAAGAUUCAGCUUUUCUCACUGUGUCACAAAAUUACAAAUUGAGUUCCACAGAGCAUCCGAGUUCUGCAGCGCUGCUCCGAGGUGCUGAGGUCCUGGUUCCUUGCAAAGCUCAUAGACUCUAAGCUCUCUACCUAAAUGAAAGUUCACAGGAGGAAAUAAUCCACCUCUUGUGUGGUAAGCAUGCGGAAUAAAUGUCAGCAGCGAACCAAGAACUUCACAGGUGUCCAUAUGAAAUGCUACUUCUGCUUCUGCUUGGCUAGGGUCUUCUGUUCUUUUUCCCCCACAAAAAUGACAAGGCUGAACAAGAGAAAGUAAUAGCUAUAAUUAAGAUCAGAGUCAGGAAAGAGAAAUGGGGAAUAAAUUAUAAUGAAUUAAGCCCAUAUAGUUACCACAGGAAAUAGAGAAAUAAAUGGGAGCGGUGAUAAAAUUAGAAAUGAGAAAUGAUUUAUUCUGCCAAUAUUUUCCUAGAAGUGUUAGCUAAGCAUGACUAUAAGAGCUAAGAUGUCUCACAUCCACAGCAAAUGGGAAUAGUAGCUAUUAACCUUCUUGGUAGGUACACUGCUGGUGGAUUGGAAACAGGCAGAAACUACAUCAGGUUAACACCUAAUGGGAGCUAAAUUUGGUAUUACGAGCCUCUCACAUCACACAUUUCAACAGCCUAAUGAAGCCUCUUGCUUCAUGCUCCCAACCAUUUAAAAACAAACAAACAAACAAAGGGAAAAGAGAUUUUUUAAAGAUACAGAUUUCUGUUUCAGCCCAGAAGAUUUGGAUUCAGUCUGGGGAGUAGCUCAAACAUUUUUAAGUUUGAGUUUUAAGUCUCUCAGGGACUUUUAGUGAGCAGGCAAAUAUUUAAA
RNAcentral lists this long non-coding RNA (979 nucleotides) under Macaca mulatta (Rhesus monkey). Its description in RNAcentral is "lncRNA (ENSMMUG00000051661.1)". The record is from RNAcentral. Lineage: Eukaryota; Metazoa; Chordata; Mammalia; Primates; Cercopithecidae.